RNAcentral lists this ribosomal RNA (463 nucleotides) under uncultured bacterium. RNAcentral's name for it is "bacterial SSU rRNA". It matches the Rfam family "Bacterial small subunit ribosomal RNA", at positions 8 to 467 of the family's 1533-position model. The record is from RNAcentral.
AGAGUUUGAUCCUGGCUCAGAUUGAACGCUGGCGGCAUGCCUAACACAUGCAAGUCGAACGGCAGCACAGGUAGCAAUACCGGGUGGCGAGUGGCGGACGGGUGAGUAAUGCAUCGGGAUCUACCCAAACGUGGGGGAUAACGUAGGGAAACUUACGCUAAUACCGCAUACGUCCUACGGGAGAAAGCGGGGGCUCGCAAGACCUCGCGCGGUUGGACGAACCGAUGUGCGAUUAGUUAGUUGGCGGGGUAAUGGCCCACCAAGGCGACGAUCGCUAGCUGGUCUGAGAGGAUGAUCAGCCACACUGGGACUGAGACACGGCCCAGACUCCUACAGGAGGCAGCAGUGGGGAAUAUUGGACAAUGGGCGCAAGCCUGAUCCAGCAAUGCCGCGUGUGUGAAGAAGGCCUUCGGGUUGUAGAAGCACUUUUAUCAGGAGCGAAAUACUAUCGGUUAAUAACCGG